This 431-nucleotide ribosomal RNA is filed under the name uncultured bacterium. RNAcentral's name for it is "partial 16S ribosomal RNA". It matches the Rfam family "Bacterial small subunit ribosomal RNA", at positions 29 to 507 of the family's 1533-position model. The record is from RNAcentral.
AACGAACGCUGGCGGCAGGCCUAACACAUGCGAGUCGAGCGCCCCGCAAGGGGAGCGGCGGCCGGGUGAGUAACGCGUGGGAAUAUGCCCUUUUCUACGGAAUAGUCUCGGGAAACUGGGGGUAAUACCGUAUACGCCCUUUGGGGGAAAGAUUUAUCGGCGAAGGAUUAGCCCGCGUUGGAUUAGGUAGUUGGUGGGGUAAUGGCCUACCAAGCCGACGAUCCAUAGCUGGUUUGAGAGGAUGAUCAGCCACACUGGGACUGAGACACGGCCCAGACUCCUACGGGAGGCAGCAGUGGGGAAUCUUAGACAAUGGGGGCAACCCUGAUCUAGCCAUGCCGCGUGAGUGAUGAAGGCCUUAGGGUUGUAAAGCUCUUUCAGCUGGGAAGAUAAUGACGGUACCAGCAGAAGAAGCCCCGGCUAACUCCGUG